RNAcentral lists this small nuclear RNA (104 nucleotides) under Salvator merianae (Argentine black and white tegu). Lineage: Eukaryota; Metazoa; Chordata; Lepidosauria; Squamata; Teiidae. The record is from RNAcentral.
GUGCUUGCUUUGGUAGCACAUUUACUAAAAUUGGGAUGAUAUAGAGAAUGCAUAGCCCCUAUGCAAGGAUGACACACAAAUUUCCAGGGGUGGGGGAACCACCC